This 253-nucleotide ribosomal RNA is filed under the name uncultured bacterium. RNAcentral describes it as "partial 16S ribosomal RNA". It matches the Rfam family "Bacterial small subunit ribosomal RNA", at positions 524 to 776 of the family's 1533-position model. The record is from RNAcentral.
UACGUAGGGUGCAAGCGUUACUCGGAAUUAUUGGGCGUAAAGCGCAUGUAGGUGGCUUUGUAAGUCUGAUGUGAAAUCCCUGGACUCAAUUCAGGAACUGCAUUGGAUACUGCAAGGCUAGAGUAUGGGAGGGGUAGGCGGAAUUCAUGGUGUAGAGGUGAAAUUCGUAGAUAUCAUGAGGAACAACAGAGGCGAAGGCGGCUUACUGGACCAUAACUGACACUGAGAUGCGACAGUGUGGGGAGCAAACAGG